UACAUGUGGGGCAAGCGUUGUUCGGAAUUAAUGGGCGUAAAGGGCGCGUAGGCGGCCUUCUAAGUCGGACGUGAAAUCCCUCGGCUUAACCGAGGAACUGCGUCCGAUACUGAAAGGCUUGAAUCCGGGAGAGGGAUGUGGAAUUCCAGGUGUAGCGGUGAAAUGCGUAGAUAUCUGGAGGAACACCGGUGGCGAAGGCGGCAUCCUGGACCGGUAUUGACGCUGAGGCGCGAAAGCUAGGGGAGCAAACGGG
Molecule: ribosomal RNA, 253 nt
Filed under: uncultured bacterium
Lineage: Bacteria
Description: partial 16S ribosomal RNA
Rfam family: Bacterial small subunit ribosomal RNA
Source: RNAcentral